GGUUCAAUAUGUUUUGCACAUAUU
Molecule: non-coding RNA, 24 nt
Filed under: Arabidopsis thaliana (thale cress)
Lineage: Eukaryota; Viridiplantae; Streptophyta; Magnoliopsida; Brassicales; Brassicaceae
Source: RNAcentral